This 253-nucleotide ribosomal RNA is filed under the name uncultured bacterium. RNAcentral describes it as "partial 16S ribosomal RNA". It matches the Rfam family "Bacterial small subunit ribosomal RNA", at positions 524 to 776 of the family's 1533-position model. The record is from RNAcentral.
UACAGAGGGGGCAAGCGUUGUUCGGAAUUACUGGGCGUAAAGGGCGCGUAGGCGGCCUGCUAAGUCGAACGUGAAAUCCCCGAGCUCAACUCGGGAACUGCGUCCGAUACUGACAGGCUUGAAUCCGGGAGAGGGAUGCGGAAUUCCAGGUGUAGUGGUGAAAUGCGUAGAUAUCUGGAGGAACACCGGUGGCGAAGGCGGCAUCCUGGACCGGCAUUGACGCUGAGGCGCGAAAGCUAGGGGAGCAAACGGG